Molecule: non-coding RNA, 4318 nt
Organism: Chlorocebus sabaeus (green monkey)
Lineage: Eukaryota; Metazoa; Chordata; Mammalia; Primates; Cercopithecidae
Source: RefSeq, a predicted model, not a curated record
UAAAAAUACAUACCCCAUAAACAACAAACAUUUAAUUGACCAACAUUUCCUUUUCACUUACUUCCCUUUUUAAAAAUAAGAAGCAGGGAACAAGGAUAACACAAACAGUAACCUCUUCUAACCUUAUUAAUGUUGAUGAAAUAAAAGGAAAGGAAAGGAAAUAGCUGAAAUCUAUUGUUCUUCCUUUGAGUUUGGGGUGGCCUCCAUCUUUUUCUCCCCUUUCUUGAAGUCAAUCAGGGGUGCUUUUGCCUUUCUUUCUACAUCCUACCUUUUAAAGCCUUAUUUUCUAGAGAGUGGACAUACACAUGUGAUAAUCAUGGUAUUUCCUCUGAAUGGUGCAUUACAAUUUGAUUGGUAAAUCAUAUAUAUAUAUAUUUUUUUACUGCUUGGAGAUACUGUAAAAAAAUUUCAAUGCAAUUGGAAUAUAUUCAAAUGAAUAUAUAUUGAGGCAUUGAAAGCGUUGAGUUAUCAAUAUUAGAAGUGUUAUAUACAAGUCAGACUACCUAGGUUUGAUUUGGGCUUCCGUUUAAAAUGCAAUUGCUUUUGGGCAAGUUAUUUAACCUUUCAUCUGAAUAACUGGGAUAAUAAAAUACAUCUCUUAAGUUGUGAGAAUUAGAUAUGUCAGUAUAUUUAAAGCUCUUACAACAGUGUAUAGUACAUGAUAAAUGUUCCAUAAAUAUUCGCUAUUAUGUAAUAAUACCUAUUUUAUUAUAUAUGAUAUGUUAGUAUUACUACUAAACAAUUAAAUCAAAAGGGACAAGAGAUAUCAAAAUGAAACAUUUGAGUGUGAUGUGUAAAAAUGAAUAUGCCUGUUAACAGCUAGGUCUUUCAAGUUCUUGAAUCAUUUAAAGCAAAAAAGAUUUUCUUUAUUCAAUAAUCAUAAAUAGCGACUCUUAGGGAGAACAGAAUUCCUAUAUUGUUCUUUGUUACUCUCCUUUCAUAUAACCAGCUAUAUUUAAUAGCUACUCUGUUAUUAAGUGUAUUUUAAACAACUAUUAUGUAAGUGAACUAUAUGAAAGAGUUUUAUUCAACCGUAUUUUGUGCUUGUUAGUAAAAUAUUUUUAUAUAAUAAUUAAUAAAAGUUCUAUUCAUUGGUAACUUUUAGAAAUAGACUUUGUAACACAGUGAUAAUCUGCUAACAUAAUCAAGAUCAUGUCUCUUAAAAAAAACCCCAAAACCUCAAAUAAGGUUUAAGAUCCUUGUUCUCAGACUUGGGGAGCUUAAAAAUAAUUUUGGCAACGUUUGUGAUAUGGUGGUUUUGGCUACCAUGUUCCCCCCCAUUUUGUUGCCUGAAAUGCCUUUCCUCAAAGUUUUCAGAUUUGGUGAUUUGCUUUCUGAAUAGAGAUAUGAGGAUCUUCCAUCAAAAAGAUUCAGUGUAAUUCUUUUAUCAGAGUGUGAGUUGCUAGCUACAAGAAACAGAUGCCUUUUUUUUGCAUUGCACCAUUUACAAAAUGUAGUCAUACCAAACAAUCAAAAAAAAUCCCUCAGAUAAGCCUCAGAUAAACCUUAUAGGAAGAUGAAUAACACAGAGAUUGUAAGUUGGUUUAGAAUGCAAUGAUACAUAGCAAAUACCAAAGAAGCAUCAAUUCCUGGUGUGGAAAUAAUGGCAUUAAGCAAACUUAUUCCUUUUCCUUUCAGUAGGUUAAAAAUGGACACAUUGUAAUUAAAAUUAUUUGAAAUGGAAAACAAACGUAAAUCUUCUUUCCUAAAAUGUUGACUAUGAGUUUUUCCAUGAAUACUAGUUUUCACCAUCUCAAAAACUUUCACAUUAAGAGCAUUUGAAAGCAAAUAAACAGUAAUUAUUAUUGACCUUUUUAUAAUGGUCAGAAUCUGGAAGUAAUAAACUCUGUGUAAAUCUUUAUAGGAACUGAGGUAACUAAGGAGUAUCAUCCUAAUUAGGAUGUUUUUGUUGUGUAGUUACAUAUGUUGAUUCUGAAAACAUUGAUUUUGCCGAAAGAAAGGAAAAGAAUGGGAGAGAUACAGGCAGACUGAAGCAAUAGAGCAACACAUUUCCAUAACUAAUAAUCUUUCAUAGAUAUAUUGGCUCUGAUGGGAGCCCACAUAGAUGCCUGGAAAGAUCGAAUCAAAUUGGGCCAGUUUAAAGUGGGGAGUGGGUAUCACUGCAAGUGGGACUAGAUCAUUAUGGUUGAUGAUGACAAGUUACUGUUAUUUUGACUGAGAAUAUCAUUAUGCAAUAUAUUAGUUAAAUUGUUGAGCCUUUUAUUUAACUUUCAUCAGUUUCAGACUUGAGGCUGGUUAUGCUUGCUUUUGGUCAUUGCUAAAACUCUUACUGUUUCUCUGGGAACCACAUUCUCUGUGCUUUUUCGCCUUCCCUGUUCUGCCUCCCCUUUUCUUGAAGUGUUUCUUUUGUUUGUCUCCAUUACACCAGCACGCAGGGACACAGUGUUUCUGCACAGUGGGAGUUGGCAAUCUCCGAAGAGCCUUUCCAGCAUUGCUUUUUAGAAUGAAAUCAUUACAAUCUUCAAUAGCUACUUGGAUUAAAAAAAAAAAAAAGGAAAGAAAGAAACUAGCACAUUAUUAUUCUCAAAACCAUCUCAAUGUAAAAAGAGGCUAUUUGCUUGGUCCUCCUCAACUCCCCCUUCCCCCAUUCUCCUGCAAUCCUUGCUCAUCUUGCUCCUUUUCUCUCUGGAUGUGUUUCCUUCACACCUAAGUUUCGUUUGCAUGGUCCUGAUUCACUAAUUCUAUUCAAACCGAGUAUACAAAUGCAUUUUUUUCUGUUGGUUUUGAAUAUUUUUACACUGCUUAUGCAAAGGAGUAGAGUCAGAUAUAUCUUGCAUUCGUUGAUAUUUGAAUUAUUACCUUCGAGAAUGUGAAAUAUUCUGGUACUGACCCAAGGUAAUUUUUCAAAUGCAGGAGUUAUUAGCAUGUGUUUAGUUGAUGGGAAAGUUGCUUUAGUAAUGACCUGCAACUAAUUUUUAAGUAGGUGAGAACUCUUGUUUAUCGUUACUCAUGUAUCAAACACUCCUACCCUGUGCUUUUCUCCAGGUCCUGAGUGCUUGCUUUUCAUCAGUAGUAACAUUUGUUUUAUACACAUGCCCAGGAGUGACCCUAGGUGCACAGUGGAAACUCAGGGCAUGAGGAGCUGUUUGCAAUGCCUUCACCCUGUGAAAGGGAUUAGUGUAUGCCAACACAUAAUAUUUCCAACAGAGAUCUUGAGUGUGCCUUAAAAUUCCAUUUCAUGGAGAGCUGUGCUUGGUUGAAUUUUGAUUGAUUACUCAAUUAACUGAUUUAUUGGUAGAGUGAUUAAGAGAGAAGACUUUGGAAUCAGACCAACCUGGUUUUGAAUUCAAGCUCAGGAACUUACUAGGUCAAACCAGAAAGAUGACAAUGGAUGUGGCGAUAUUUUUGUUACUACUUUGAGAGAAAAACUCCUGAUGGUGCUGAUGUCCAAUGAAAUGAGACUGGGUUCUGGAAGAAUUUGGUAAGGAGGAGAAAAGAAAGAAGGAGAAAUUGGAAAGAUAAAUGGGGUCUUUCCAGUGAAGCUGCAGUUAUGGCAUUAACCUCCCAGUUGUUACCUACUUCUAGAUGAAAGCUCAAUUUUCCUACAUAAUUAAGAGUGUGAAGUUUGGGCAAUGUCAAGAAUCACAUCUGUACUGAAAUCAAUUAUCUGUGUUUGGUAAGUAGGGGAGAAAAUACUUGAUAGAUAUUUCUUAUCUGCAGCAAAUUCUCAUGUUCAUGUUUUAUCUUUGAUCUUCUUGAAGACUCACAGAAAAUUUCUAAGCAACACUUGAUUGUUUUGCCUAAACUGCUUUGUAUUUUGACCACAGGUUGGAGACUUACUUUUAUGAAUAUAAAUAUAAUCUACUCUACUCAAAACCAAGCAGUCUGAUUUUCUGCCAUUCUUUUUUACCUUUCCUUUUUAACUUUUAUUUUAGGUUUGGGGGUAUAUGUGAAGGUUUGUUACAUAGGUAAAUGUGUCAUGGGAGUUUGUUGUGCAUAUUAUUUCAUCAUUUGGGUAUCGAGCCCAGCACCCAGUAGUCAUCUUUUCUGCUCCUCUCCCUACUUCUACCCUUUCCACCUUCCACCCUUCUUAUCAUUUAGUUCCUACUUAUAAGUGAAAACAUGCAGUAUUUGAUUUUUUUGAUCCUGCAUUAGUUUGCUAAGGAUAAUAGCCUCCAGCUCCAUCCAUGUUCCCAUGAAAGACAUGAUCUCAUUCCUUUUUAAUGGCUACGUAGUAUUCCAUGGUAUAUACAUAGCACAUUUUGAUUAUACAAUCUGCCUUUGAUAGGUAUUAGGUUGAUUCUGCUAUUGUGAAGAGUGCUUCAGUGAACAUUUGUGUGCAUGUAUCUUUAUGGUA